This 465-nucleotide ribosomal RNA is filed under the name Vreelandella stevensii. RNAcentral describes it as "partial 16S ribosomal RNA". It matches the Rfam family "Bacterial small subunit ribosomal RNA", at positions 338 to 795 of the family's 1533-position model. The record is from RNAcentral. Lineage: Bacteria; Pseudomonadati; Pseudomonadota; Gammaproteobacteria; Oceanospirillales; Halomonadaceae.
CCUACGGGCAGCUGCAGUGGGGAAUAUUGGACAAUGGGCGAAAGCCUGAUCCAGCCAUGCCGCGUGUGUGAAGAAGGCCUUCGGGUUGUAAAGCACUUUCAGUGGGGAAGAAAGCCUUGGGGCUAAUACCCUCGAGGAAGGACAUCACCCACAGAAGAAGCACCGGCUAACUCCGUGCCAGCAGCCGCGGUAAUACGGAGGGUGCGAGCGUUAAUCGGAAUUACUGGGCGUAAAGCGCGCGUAGGCGGUCUGAUAAGCCGGUUGUGAAAGCCCCGGGCUCAACCUGGGAACGGCAUCCGGAACUGUCAGGCUAGAGUGCAGGAGAGGAAGGUAGAAUUCCCGGUGUAGCGGUGAAAUGCGUAGAGAUCGGGAGGAAUACCAGUGGCGAAGGCGGCCUUCUGGACUGACACUGACGCUGAGGUGCGAAAGCGUGGGUAGCAAACAGGAUUAGAUACCCUGGUAGUC